Molecule: long non-coding RNA, 1013 nt
Filed under: Equus asinus (donkey)
Lineage: Eukaryota; Metazoa; Chordata; Mammalia; Perissodactyla; Equidae
Description: lncRNA (ENSEASG00005023638.1)
Source: RNAcentral
GCUUUACCGUGUACUAGUUGGGGAAGUUUCUUAACACAUUUGAGCCUCAUUUUCCCCGUUUGUAAAGUGAGCAUCUUAACGCACAUAUUCAUAGCAUUGCUGCGGGGAUCAAAUGAGUUCACGCGUGAUGCAGCUGGCACAGCGUAUGGCACGCGGUGGUUGUGCAGUUGUGUUCCUUCCCUUUUUUCUACUAGGGGAUGUGCCUGGUUGAACACACCCGGGUCUUUUUUUGCAUACCGUGGCUCACCUGCAGUGAUUUUCCAGGAUGCUAGCUCCCCUUCCGCCCUCAUCUCCACUGCCCGUCUCGUCUCUUUCCCUUUUCGUUGCUGGUUUGAGAUGACUCCCUUCUUGGGGCACAUGAUGUUGGGAACUGCUAAUGAGACAGUAUACUUCCCAGACCAAGGGCCAGGGUCUGAAUGAGCGCUUUACUGGGAAGAGAGGAAAGAGCGUAGCCGUCCUGUGGCUCUUCACCUGCGGUUCGGCGCUGCUGGGACCCGGCACUUGGAGGCUGGAUGAACGUGGACUGCGGUGUGUGGAGGGAAAACUGUGAGCGUUCCUCUGCAGGUCGCUGCACUGAGAAGUACCGGUGAGAUUGUUGACGAUCGUAUGGAGAUUCCUUUCCAUUCUGAGAAGCCAAGGUAUUUUCGCCCGGUGGAGGAAUGACGUAGUUCCAUCCUAAUCUUGUCUUAUACUUGCAGAUCGCAUAUUCCUUGAAGAAAAGGAUCUUUAAAAAUUUCUUCUGUACUCUUACUGCAAGGAACAUUAUAAAUAUAUUGUAGAUGCUCAAGAAAUUGAAACUGAAUGUUAUUCUGUGCCCUCUGUGCCAUAGACGUACAAAAUGGGCAAGAUCCAGCCCUUGCUCUCAAAGUGCUUACAUUCUGUUAGGAGGAUGUCAAGUCCAUAAAAAUAUGUGAUCGGAGAUGGAGUAUGAUAUGAGCCAUGAGAAAGAUGAAAUCAAACUGCUUGGUGACUAAGCAGGAUGGAAUAUAGAGCAAUAAAGAAAAGCUUCAUGA